UUCUAACCCCGAUGGAAGUGGAAAUCCUUUUUUGCCGCCCGCUGCGCGGGCGGCAAAAAAGAUUGCAGCGGACAGCGGGUACCAGC
RNAcentral lists this small RNA (86 nucleotides) under Kaistella treverensis. RNAcentral's name for it is "Chryseobacterium sp. IMMIB L-1519 Flavo-1 RNA". It matches the Rfam family "Flavo-1 RNA". The record is from Rfam by way of RNAcentral. Lineage: Bacteria; Pseudomonadati; Bacteroidota; Flavobacteriia; Flavobacteriales; Weeksellaceae.